This 3260-nucleotide long non-coding RNA is filed under the name Equus caballus (horse). RNAcentral describes it as "lncRNA (ENSECAG00000057709.1)". The record is from RNAcentral. Lineage: Eukaryota; Metazoa; Chordata; Mammalia; Perissodactyla; Equidae.
CUGUGACUUUGCAAAGGAGACUUAAAUCACUCGUGGGUGCUGAGGGCUGUAUCAGCUUCCAAAACAUUGCACAUCGUCAGCAUCCCUUCAAAAAGAGAAAAUGUAAAAAAGCACUUUACAUUAAAACAAGUUCAUAGAUUAUUUUUCACUACCCCUAGCCGUGAGUUUUUGACCUGACUAUGAAAAUGAACUCCAGCCAAUCUACUCUAGCCCAAGUCUACUCUUUCUUUAGGGAGCCUGCUGAGUAUUUAUAUAGAGAUUUGCGUUUACGUUGGGUUUUGAGUCUUUCCACCCCUCCUCCUGUUGAUGAGAAGAUUCCUCACACAGCCUGCUGAGGGGCAAGUGGGCAUUUGCCAUGUCUGUUCCAUCUGACCUCAUCUCUUUGGCCACGGCCAUCUGGACAUUGAGUCUGACCCAAGGUUAAGUCAACUAUACACUAGUCAGUGACCCAAGUGGUCUGGUUUGAAAGCAUCAGUAGAGCCAAUCCGAUUCCCCUUUUGGGAAUGUGGAAUUAGCCAACAGAGACUGAGGCGGACAGUAGAAGCAGGGCAGAGGUGAGAAGACGCUGUCAAGCUGAACAGGGGCCAUGACAAGCACCCGCAAGGCAGAUUAGGAGGGGGGAGAAAAGGAGGAGUUCAAGGAGAGCGAGCCAGUGUCAAUCACUAACCUCAGCCAGUCUGGUUGGUUGGUGAAGGUCAGGGGUGUGUGAGAGUGUGUGUGUGUGUCUGUGUGCACAUGUAUGGGACAAUGUCACAGUUGGCAGCCUCACUGCUUCCUAAGUCUCAGACCAAAUUUGACCAAGUGUACUGGCUGUGCCAACAGACGUCUCCCAGCCUGUCUGGAGUGGGAAGAAGUCACUUUCUGUCUCUCUCCCUCUCCUCUGUCUGGUCUACCAGGACUUGCAUGAAAGGAACCCUCCCAAGCAGAAGGGAUGUCUUAAGAUUGGGAGGUGGCAGUAUCCUUCUUAAGCCAGAGAAACCUCAGAGGAAAGGCUUCUGUACACUGAGAUGGUGCUGGUGACACAGGCUGCUGUGCUUUCUGGUUUUUGUGUGUGUGUGCGUGAGGAAGAUUGGUCCUGAGCUAACAUCAGCUGCCAAUCUUCCUCUUUUUGCUUGAGGAAGAUUGUUGCUGAACUAACAUCUAUGCCAAUCUCCCUCUGUCUUGUAUGUGGGAUGCCACCACAGCAUGGCUUGAUGAGCAGUGUACACACUGCUCUGUGUACUGGAUCCAGUCUGUGCCUGGAUGCAAACCCCGGGCCCCUGAAGCAGAGCAUGCAAACUUAACUACUAUGCCACCAGGCCAACCCUGGCUUUCUGGUUUUUAAUACCAUUUUCAUGGAAGGUGGAAGGUUCUUUUAGAUUCCUCCUAAUCCAUCCCAUUUUAAGCAUCACUAAUGCCACCAAUCAAAACCACUUCCUUUUUUCUUUCUUUUUUGCUGGGGAAGAUUUGCCAUGAGCUAAUAUCUGUGCCAAUCUUCCUCUAUUUUUUAGUAUGUGGGUCACCAGCACAGCAUGGCUGCUAGCAGAGUGGUGUAGGUCCACACCUGGGAACCGAACCUAGGCUAUCGAAGUGGAGCAUGCUGAACUUAACUACUCAGCCACGAGGGCUGACCCCAAAACUACUUCUAAUGCUAAUAAACCAAGCCUAAAAUGUUGAUACAGAUGAGGAUGAAUUUGGCUACACACACAUCACAAUCAUUGCACUGAGGCACUGCAAAGUCAGUCCCACAAAGCACAAUAACCCUGUUACCAUGUGUUAUAUAUGUUUGUGGUCAGGAGGAAGCUGAGAAACUGCUUCUUGAUUUUUGGUUGACUCCCUCAGUAUCUCUCUGAGUUGGGUGUUAGGAAGAUGGUGUAUACAUUUGCACAGGGACAAAUAUCUCUUGGGGGCAGGGAGAGCAAGACCCUUCUCCCUUCCCUGUGGGAUUCCAUUUUUCUGUGUGCACGUGCUCACUCUCACACCCGCAUGCAAUAGUGUUGGAGCUUGCUCAGAUUGUGCAGUUUACUGCAGGUACGUUCCAUCUGUGUUCGAUGGCCAUCUAUUGGGCUGUAUGCAGCUUUGGCUUGUUGAGGACCCACUUGAGACCAGACACUGUGCUGUAGAGAUGAAUCUAAGGCAUUUACAGGCUAGAGAAGAUGCAAUUAAUUAUUUUAUUCCUGGUGUGCAUCUCCCCAUUUCUAAAACAAGGAGUGCAGAAGUGCCUGCUCUUCCCCAGUUAAAAAUCAUGGUGUAAAUAGAUAAUAUUUCCUCAGCAUCCAAAAUGACAAAAAUAUUAUCCAACAUAUUUUGCCUGCACUGGGCUGGAAGUCUCUACAGUGGAAUUCGCCAUUGCUAAGACCUCUGUGUAACCAGACGUCUAACCACAGGACACUAGAGCUGCAUAUUAGUUUGCUCUGCCCCUCCACCCAGCCUUGUCACUGCAGAGGAGAAUCAGAGUUUAGAGGAUGUGUUCCGUAAAGGGUGGGAGACAAGUUCCUUUAUGAUGUGUUGACUGUCGUCGUGGGAGCCAGGGGCUACUGCUCUCGGGAUCUAGAAUUCAUUUAUCCAUCAAAUAUGAGUGCCUCCCAGGUGCCGGGUACAGUUCUAGGGCUCUGUGUACAGCAGUGAACAAGACGGACAAGGAUUACACUUCAUGGAGCUUUUCUACAGGAAGGCAGCAGACAUACCCAAACUCUGAGUGUGAUGUGGGGCACAAAGUGUAUCUCAGCUGCUGAGAACAAGAGCGUUGGUAUCCCCAGCCCUUCACUCUGAGGGACUGAUACCCACUGCGGGGGCUCCUGAGAGAGGUCAGUCCAGCAGGCCUUGUCUCUGGCUAGUGUUGUCUUCUGGAGAGAGCAGGGCUGGUGAGUCUCCCGAACUUUGGACUUGGACUCUUCUAUCAGCCAGGCUUUGUCUGGGUUAUUUCCCAGGGGAGACAUUUCCCACCUGUCCGAGCCUGGACCAAGAUGCCUCCAAAUGUACUGGAAAACGUUGUGACUUCUCAUCUACAGGAAAAUCAAAAUGCCAGGGGCUGGCCCCGUGGUGGAGUGGUUAAGUUCACGCGCUCCGCUGCAGGCAGCCCAGUGUUUCGUUGGUUCGAAUCCUGGGCGAGGACAUGGCACUGCUCAUCAAACCACGCUGGGGCAGCGUCCCACAUACCACAACUAGAAGGACUCACAACGAAGAAUAUACAACUAUGUACCGGGGGGCUUUGGGGAGAAAAAGGAAAAAAAUAAAAUCUUUAAAAAAAAAAAAGUGCUCAUCUAUUGUAUAUAUAGUUU